RNAcentral lists this ribosomal RNA (497 nucleotides) under uncultured bacterium. RNAcentral describes it as "partial 16S ribosomal RNA". It matches the Rfam family "Bacterial small subunit ribosomal RNA", at positions 28 to 507 of the family's 1533-position model. The record is from RNAcentral.
GAUGAACGCUGGCGGCGUGCCUAAUACAUGCAAGUCGAGCGAACGGACGAGAAGCUUGCUUCUCUGAUGUUAGCGGCGGACGGGUGAGUAACACGUGGAUAACCUACCUAUAAGACUGGGAUAACUUCGGGAAACCGGAGCUAAUACCGGAUAAUAUUUUGAACCGCAUGGUUCAAAAGUAAAAGACGGUCUUGCUGUCACUUAUAGAUGGAUCCGCGCUGCAUUAGCUAGUUGGUAAGGUAACGGCUUACCCAGGCAACGAUGCAUAGCCGACCUGAGAGGGUGAUCGGCCACACUGGAACUGAGACACGGUCCAGACUCCUACGGGAGGCAGCAGUAGGGAAUCUUCCGCAAUGGGCGAAAGCCUGACGGAGCAACGCCGCGUGAGUGAUGAAGGUCUUCGGAUCGUAAAACUCUGUUAUUAGGGAAGAACAUAUGUGUAAGUAACUGUGCACAUCUUGACGGUACCUAAUCAGAAAGCCACGGCUAACUACGUG